Brassica oleracea var. oleracea is the source of this 73-nucleotide transfer RNA. It matches the Rfam family "tRNA". Rfam says of the family: Transfer RNA (tRNA) molecules are approximately 80 nucleotides in length. Their secondary structure includes four short double-helical elements and three loops (D, anti-codon, and T loops). Further hydrogen bonds mediate the characteristic L-shaped molecular structure. tRNAs have two regions of fundamental functional importance: the anti-codon, which is responsible for specific mRNA codon recognition, and the 3' end, to which the tRNAs corresponding amino acid is attached (by aminoacyl-tRNA synthetases). tRNAs cope with the degeneracy of the genetic code in two manners: having more than one tRNA (with a specific anti-codon) for a particular amino acid; and 'wobble' base-pairing, i.e. permitting non-standard base-pairing at the 3rd anti-codon position. The record is from Rfam. Lineage: Eukaryota; Viridiplantae; Streptophyta; Magnoliopsida; Brassicales; Brassicaceae.
UCCGUUGUAGUCUAGCUGAUCAGGAUACUCGGCUCUCACCCGAGAGGCCCGGGUUCGAAUACCGGCAUCGGAG